AGGAAUGUGGUUCGCUGGAUAAAUUGUUCAAUAAAAACGUUUUACUAUUUUUUUAUAAGAAAACUUUGUCCUUGAUGUUUGAAAAAACGCGGGAACAUAUCCUAGAGAAUUAAGAAAUACCAACCCGACACUAGGGAACUUCUAGGGUUUUCUUCUGCCCAAAGUGUUCCCCCACUGUAAUUUUUUUGGCGGUUGGUCGAAGUAGUAUUUUACAAUAAAAACAUUUCCAUCAAACAUAUCAACAAAUUCCGAUCAAUGUUUAAAUAACUCACCCCCCACAGUGUCACAAUGGCGUACAUAAAUUGCAAUGUGAGUGGUGAAAUAGAGCCAAGAGUCCCUAGACAUCCAACAGCAGCACCGACUGAGACUACUCCAACAGUGCCAGAGGUGUCCCUGGCAUUCGACACUCCCCAACAAAGAGGGACAUUCUCGAAUAAACCUAGAUCCUCACCCCUGCCAACCUCAUAUGCCCAGUGGAAGCAGCAAGUGCCCCCUCAGCCCUCCAGCAGUCCUAAAAUCGACGAUGGAAAAGUCCAGAGGAUAUUCCGAAGUAGUUCAUCACCAGGAGCUCCAAGCAGCUCAUCAUUAGGAGCUCUAAGAGGGGCAAAUACAGCCCUUGCGAUAGCCGAAAGGCCCCAGAGGCUUCCCCCAGGCCCCUUCCAGAGGGACUCUCGCCUGAAGUUUUACCAAAAAGUCGGGCCAGAAUGUUCCCCAUCCGAGAACAAGAUCCUCCCCACCAGUAACCCCAUGAUCUCCCCUUCAAGAAGACCUGCAAGCUCUCUCUCACUGGCGCCCCGACCACAGGGGCCCUCAGACUUGAUCGCAAAAGAAAAAAUCCAGUCAUCGCCUCCUCAGGAAAAACUGGACCGAGUAAAAAGCCCCUGUGACUGCCACUCCCAUCAGUCAGACAACAACGAGAUAAUAAACAAGUUGCUGUCUUUGGUCCAGAGUCAAAAUGCCCAGAUACAGAUGCUCCAGGGACAAGUGGAGACCCUCCUCUCAAUGAGGACCGAAAGACCCAGAGACUUUGAUUACCAGAGACUUCCCUUUCCUCCCCACGUCUCCCCGACUAUCAGUGAUCCAGCUGUUCAGAAUCCACGCCUCCAGUACCCCAAAUCCCCCCGAGAUCUUCAGGACUUCGAGGAGAAACAGAGGGAGGACAAGUGCAAGCAGCUGAUAAAGGAAAAAAAAGUAUCCAUCGGAGUCAUGACGAGCUUUGAAUUAACAGUUCAGGACGCAGUAGUUUACAACGUCGAUGCUGUCCCGACGGCUCCAGAUUAUCAGGAACCGCCCCCUCUGGGGAAGACCCUCGGGAGUAGAACACCUGGAGCGACGGCAGUGGCUAAAGGCCCUCUUGAGCAGAUCAUCGAGGAUUCAGAGAGUCAUAUGUCAUCGACAGUUCAAGCCAGCAAUAAUUUUCACACAUACUCAUCAGCCAGGAAGUCACUCCAAGGGAAUCUCCAGGGAGAGUCUUGUGUGGAGCCACCGCAAAUCCACCAGCGAACUCCAGCUGUCAUUCAGAGCCAGCCAAGUCGCCUGACGACUGAACCCCCACGUUAUCAGCAGCCAGAAGGUGUCCAGAGGGAUCACCAAAAAUUGUCCAGUGGAGGGAGCCAUAUCCCUAGUCAGAAAAAUUCUCCAGCUCCUCCAGCAGUUCUUGCAGCCAAUAUCAGGGAUGAUCCACCCCCUGAGGUCGUCACGAAGACCCCCAAGGUCGGCUGGACUCUCUACGAUAAUGUCAUGUGUCAAGUUAAUGAAAUACUCCACAACACGCAGGACGGGCCGGGGGACGAGGGCCAGGAGAUUGUCCAGGAGACGAGUGGGUCUAAACUCCGACUGAAUGGAAUCCAACAGUCGACUAUGGAGCAGUUGAAAUUAUUUGGUUUCACUUUUGCUGACACGUCUGGAUGCUCCGAGGGCAGGUCCAUGGUCGAUGGUAGGAGGAUGAACCCUAUUUCCAUUGAUGCUUCCUACUAUCCACGAUUGGAUUAUCAAGCCAAUGUCAUUCAGACCUCUGGGUCAGUUAGCGACAGCAAUACCAGCUUGCAUAUGAAGGCACUGGCGAUGAAGUACUUGGGGACCAAACAACUGCCCAAUGUUUCCAGCCAUCAGAGGGGAAUGGAGCUGUUCACCAGCAUGGUACUCAGUAAUCUUCAGAAUAAUUUGCCUGGGGGACAUGGGAAUGAUGCCCCUCAGUUUGAUAACAAUCCCCGAUUCCAAGGAUCACCGAAGGCUUUACCAGACUUUCAAGGUGAAAAUUAUUUAAUGCCCAGGAAACAAAGUCCACACAAUCGACACAAAAUAUUGGAUAUGUCAAGCUUGAAACGUCAGCCCAAAUUGCUGUAGUUCAUUCGUUUCGAUUAUUGUUUAUAUUCUGAAGGUUAAAGUUUGUGAAGGACAAGAUCGAUCGGCAUUAUUUAAUUAAUUAUAUCUGAACGCAUCAAUUAAAAACAUUGGACGUUGUGCGUCUGCAGUGUUACCUCAUAUUACGCUUCAAUUACAUUGUCAAAAAGCAAGAGCAGCAGAAAAUAUGUUUUGGCUCAGGAAGAUCUCGGAACAUCGGUCUCAGGACCGGAACCAGCCCAUUCAUGCGAUUUUAUAUGUCCGAGGACUUUCCGAACACUGGGCCGGG
Molecule: RNA transcript, 2632 nt
Organism: Diachasmimorpha longicaudata
Lineage: Eukaryota; Metazoa; Arthropoda; Insecta; Hymenoptera; Braconidae
Exons: 5
Source: RefSeq, a predicted model, not a curated record